RNAcentral lists this ribosomal RNA (445 nucleotides) under uncultured bacterium. RNAcentral's name for it is "bacterial SSU rRNA". It matches the Rfam family "Bacterial small subunit ribosomal RNA", at positions 330 to 792 of the family's 1533-position model. The record is from RNAcentral.
UCCAGACUCCUACGGGAGGCAGCAGUGGGGAAUAUUGCACAAUGGGGGAAACCCUGAUGCAGCAACGCCGCGUGAGUGAAGAAGUCCUUCGUGAUGUAAAGCUCUAUCAGCAGGGAAGAAAAUGACGGUACCUGAGUAAGAAGCCCCGGCUAACUACGUGCCAGCAGCCGCGGUAAUACGUAGGGAGCGAGCGUUGUCCGGAAUUACUGGGUGUAAAGGGAGCGUAGGCGGGAUUGCAAGUUGGAUGUGAAAACUGCGGGCUCAACCCGGAGCGUGCAUUCAAAACUGCGAUUCUUGAGUGAAGUAGAGGCAAGCGGAAUUCCUAGCGUAGCGGUGAAAUGCGUAGAUAUUAGGAGGAACACCAGUGGCGAAGGCGGCUUGCUGGGCUUUUACUGACGCUGAGGCUCGAAAGUGUGGGGAGCAAACAGGAUUAGAUACCCUUGUA